CGAAGAACUAGUAUCAAUUCAGCACAUACUUUAAUUUUUAAAUUCGCUGAGAAAACAAGAAAUAAUAUUUUAUCGAUGGUUUGAGUAUUUAUUUUGAAUGCAACGCACACGAACCUAUACUUAACAAAUUCCCAUUCCCAAAUGUUUCACUAUAAAUAAUACUAAACUUAUUACCUAUAUACCUGAAUAGAAAUCAAAUAUUUCAGGAAAUCACAUAUACCAUAUACCUUUUUAUAUGUGAAACUUUUCAAGUCGAAAUUUAAUUCUAUAUGCAUUAUACAAAUAAUGUAUUGAAGUUGAAAAUUCGGAGUAAAAAUAUCUAAUAUACAAUUU
This is a non-coding RNA of Cinara cedri, 333 nucleotides long. The record is from the annotation of a GenBank genome assembly. NCBI's taxonomy places the organism in Eukaryota, Metazoa, Arthropoda, Insecta, Hemiptera, Aphididae.